AACGAACGCUGGCGGCAUGCCUAACACAUGCAAGUCGAACGAGACCUUCGGGUCUAGUGGCGCACGGGUGCGUAACGCGUGGGAACCUGCCCUUAGGUUCGGAAUAACUCCCCGAAAGGGGUGCUAAUACCGGAUAAUGUCUUCGGACCAAAGAUUUAUCGCCUUUGGAUGGGCCCGCGUUGGAUUAGCUAGUUGGUAGGGUAAAAGCCUACCAAGGCGACGAUCCAUAGCUGGUCUGAGAGGAUGAUCAGCCACACUGGGACUGAGACGCGGCCCAGACUCCUACGGGAGGCAGCAGUGGGGAAUAUUGGACAAUGGGCGAAAGGCUGAUCCAGCAAUGCCGCGUGAGUGAUGAAGGCCUUAGGGUUGUAAAGCUCUUUUACCCGGGAUGAUAAUGACAGUACCGGGAGAAUAAGCUCCGGCUAACUCCGUG
This 433-nucleotide ribosomal RNA is filed under the name uncultured bacterium. Its description in RNAcentral is "partial 16S ribosomal RNA". It matches the Rfam family "Bacterial small subunit ribosomal RNA", at positions 29 to 507 of the family's 1533-position model. The record is from RNAcentral.